UAAUUCGGAUUAACUUUCUGCACUUAAUUUAUUUUACAGUGUUUGCCUUAUUCACUUAAAUGUGCAUUGAAAGAGCUUGGGGCCAUGUUGUAUCUGUUCUGCUUGUUCGUGAAAUUUUUGUUUUUUAAUUAUUAAGGGAAUGGAAUGAGAGGAAUUGGGCAAAAUUAUGCCCCCGUUGGGUUUUGCAACGAGGUUAUGAGUUAUGACCGUUACAUUGGAUGUAUCCAAUUCUCCGUGUUUCUUGCAAGAGGCUGCUGUUGUUACAUGCCCUUUAGUCUGGUAACUUGAGAUCAAUUGCUAACGAACGUGAUAUAGCCUUUAUAUGAUAACUUGUUAUUGCGAAGAACUUUUCUAGCGAACGCAUCAUUUUAGUUGUUGAAUCAGAGGAUUUCUAAUUCCUUUGAUGUACAUUGAUGUCAUACAGCCCCUCGGUGCAGCAAAUGCCAAAUAUGCCUCAACAGUGGGAGGCCAGAGUAUGUUUAUAUUUCC
RNAcentral lists this long non-coding RNA (489 nucleotides) under Nicotiana benthamiana. RNAcentral describes it as "long non-coding RNA (NBEN_LNC016067)". Lineage: Eukaryota; Viridiplantae; Streptophyta; Magnoliopsida; Solanales; Solanaceae. The record is from RNAcentral.